This 439-nucleotide long non-coding RNA is filed under the name Androctonus crassicauda. The record is from RNAcentral. Lineage: Eukaryota; Metazoa; Arthropoda; Arachnida; Scorpiones; Buthidae.
GUGUACACAUGAUGAAUUCAUUCAUGUCUGCUGUCCAUUUCAUAUGUUGGCGUGGUUUUCCAGCCUUGGUGGUCACUGGCUGAGUUGCUUGGGAAACACUGGCUGGUUGGGUUCUGAUGUGGUUAAUGUUUCCUACUACGGCUGUGUGUAUUGCAGUACCAAACUUGGAUUGGUGUUGCUUUCUAUUAGAGCCAACCAUGCUCUGCUACCAAUUUUGUUGUUCUACGUGGUUCUGGCUUUUCCCGGUUUUGUAGACACAAAACAUAACAAAAUAAAAAAAACAUUAGUCUUUAUUAUGUUACAAUACUUCUGUAGCAUACCUUAAGAGUUUAAUACAAAAUAAAAAAAAAGGAACUCACAAAGAUACAAUCUUCCACAGUCUUGCUACAUGUCGAGAAGAAGAAAGAAAGGAAAAAGUGUUGCCAGCAGAAAAAAAAAC